AGGGCGCACGGUGGAUGCCUUGGCACUAGGAGCCGACGAAGGACGUGACAAACGACGAUAUACCUUGGGUAGCUGUAAGUAAGCGAUGAUCCAGGGAUUUCCGAAUGGGGGAACCCAACAGGUAAUACCUGUUACCCACAUCUGUUAAGGAUGUGAGGAGGAAGACGCAGUGAACUGAAACAUCUAAGUAGCUGCAGGAAGAGAAAGCAAAAGCGAUUGCCUUAGUAGCGGCGAGCGAAACGGCAGAAGGGCAAACCGAAGAGUUUACUCUUCGGGGUUGUAGGACUGCAAUGUGGACUCAAAGAUUAUAGAAGAAUGAUUUGGGAAGAUCAGCCAAAGAGAGUAAUAGCCUCGUAUUUAAAAUAGUCUUUGUACCUAGCAGUAUCCUGAGUACGGCGGGACACGUGAAAUCCCGUCGGAAUCUGGGAGGACCAUCUCCCAACCCUAAAUACUCCCUAGUGACCGAUAGUGAACCAGUACCGUGAGGGAAAGGUGAAAAGCACCCCGGGAGGGGAGUGAAAUAGAACCUGAAACCGUGUGCCUACAACAAGUUCGAGCCCGUUAAUGGGUGAGAGCGUGCCUUUUGUAGAAUGAACCGGCGAGUUACGUUAUGAUGCGAGGUUAAGUUGAAGAGACGGAGCCGUAGGGAAACCGAGUCUGAACAGGGCGAAUUAGUAUCAUGACGUAGACCCGAAACCAUGUGACCUACCCAUGAGCAGGUUGAAGGUGCGGUAAGACGCACUGGAGGACCGAACCAGGGCACGUUGAAAAGUGCUUGGAUGACUUGUGGGUAGCGGAGAAAUUCCAAACGAACUUGGAGAUAGCUGGUUCUCUCCGAAAUAGCUUUAGGGCUAGCGUCGACAUUAGAGAUUCUUGGAGGUAGAGCACUGUUUGGGUGAGGGGUCCAUCCCGGAUUACCAAUCUCAGAUAAACUCCGAAUGCCAAUGAAUUAUGGUCGGCAGUCAGACUGCGAGUGCUAAGAUCCGUAGUCGAAAGGGAACAGCCCAGACCACCAGCUAAGGUCCCAAAAUAAUUGUUAAGUGGAAAAGGAUGUGGGGUUGCACAGACAACUAGGAUGUUAGCUUAGAAGCAGCUAUUCAUUCAAAGAGUGCGUAAUAGCUCACUAGUCGAGUGACCCUGCGCCGAAAAUGUACCGGGGCUAAAACAAUUUACCGAAGCUGUGGAUACCUUUAUAGGUAUGGUAGGAGAGCGUUCUAUGUGUGAUGAAGGUAUACCGUGAGGAGUGCUGGAACGCAUAGAAGUGAGAAUGCCGGUAUGAGUAGCGAAAGACAGGUGAGAAUCCUGUCCACCGUAAGACUAAGGUUUCCAGGGGAAGGCUCGUCCGCCCUGGGUUAGUCGGGACCUAAGGAGAGACCGAAAGGUGUAUCCGAUGGACAACAGGUUGAUAUUCCUGUACUAGAGUAUGUAGUGAUGGAGGGACGCAGUAGGCUAACUAAAGCAGACGAUUGGAAGAGUCUGUCUAAGCAGUGAGGUGUGAAUUGAGUCAAAUGCUUAAUUCUAUAACAUUGAGCUGUGAUGGGGAGCGAAGUUUAGUAGCGAAGUUAGUGACGUCACACUGCCAAGAAAAGCUUCUAGCGUUUAAACAUACUCUACCCGUACCGCAAACCGACACAGGUAGUCGAGGCGAGUAGCCUCAGGUGAGCGAGAGAACUCUCGUUAAGGAACUCGGCAAAAUGACCCCGUAACUUCGGGAGAAGGGGUGCUGACUUUAGGUCAGCCGCAGUGAAUAGGCCCAAGCAACUGUUUAUCAAAAACACAGCUCUCUGCUAAAUCGUAAGAUGAUGUAUAGGGGGUGACGCCUGCCCGGUGCUGGAAGGUUAAGAGGAGUGCUUAGCGUAAGCGAAGGUAUGAAUUGAAGCCCCAGUAAACGGCGGCCGUAACUAUAACGGUCCUAAGGUAGCGAAAUUCCUUGUCGGGUAAGUUCCGACCCGCACGAAAGGCGUAAUGAUUUGGGCACUGUCUCAACGAGAGACUCGGUGAAAUUUUAGUACCUGUGAAGAUGCAGGUUACCCGCGACAGGACGGAAAGACCCCAUGGAGCUUUACUGCAGUUUGAUAUUGAGUGUCUGUACCACAUGUACAGGAUAGGUAGGAGUCUAAGAGAUCGGGACGCCAGUUUCGAAGGAGACGCUGUUGGGAUACUACCCUUGUGUUAUGGCCACUCUAACCCAGAUAGGUGAUCCCUAUCGGAGACAGUGUCUGACGGGCAGUUUGACUGGGGCGGUCGCCUCCUAAAAGGUAACGGAGGCGCCCAAAGGUUCCCUCAGAAUGGUUGGAAAUCAUUCGCAGAGUGUAAAGGUAUAAGGGAGCUUGACUGCGAGAGCUACAACUCGAGCAGGGACGAAAGUCGGGCUUAGUGAUCCGGUGGUUCCGUAUGGAAGGGCCAUCGCUCAACGGAUAAAAGCUACCCUGGGGAUAACAGGCUUAUCUCCCCCAAGAGUUCACAUCGACGGGGAGGUUUGGCACCUCGAUGUCGGCUCGUCGCAUCCUGGGGCUGUAGUCG
RNAcentral lists this ribosomal RNA (2523 nucleotides) under Streptococcus pneumoniae 7286-06. Its description in RNAcentral is "bacterial LSU rRNA". It matches the Rfam family "Bacterial large subunit ribosomal RNA", at positions 14 to 2561 of the family's 2925-position model. Lineage: Bacteria; Bacillati; Bacillota; Bacilli; Lactobacillales; Streptococcaceae. The record is from RNAcentral.